UACGUAGGGUGCAAGCGUUGUCCGGAAUUAUUGGGCGUAAAGAGCUCGUAGGCGGUCUGUCGCGUCGGCUGUGAAAACCCGGGGCUCAACCCCGGGCCUGCAGUCGAUACGGGCAGACUAGAGUGCGGUAGGGGAGACUGGAAUUCCUGGUGUAGCGGUGAAAUGCGCAGAUAUCAGGAGGAACACCAGUGGCGAAGGCGAUCAUCUGGGGUUGUUCUGACGCUGAGGAGCGAAAGCUAGGGGAGCAAACGGG
RNAcentral lists this ribosomal RNA (253 nucleotides) under uncultured bacterium. RNAcentral describes it as "partial 16S ribosomal RNA". It matches the Rfam family "Bacterial small subunit ribosomal RNA", at positions 524 to 776 of the family's 1533-position model. The record is from RNAcentral.